Molecule: unclassified non-coding RNA, 337 nt
Filed under: soil metagenome
Description: partial contains 5.8S ribosomal RNA, internal transcribed spacer 2, and large subunit ribosomal RNA
Rfam family: 5.8S ribosomal RNA (bases 1-120)
Source: RNAcentral
GAUGAAGAACGUAGUGAAAUGCGAUAAGUAGUGUGAAUUGCAGAAUUCAGUGAAUCAUCGAAUCUUUGAACGCACAUUGCGCCCCUUGGUAUUCCAUGGGGCAUGCCUGUUCGAGCGUCAUUUGUACCUUCAAGCUCUGCUUGGUGUUGGGUGUUUGUCUCGCCUCUGCGCGUAGACUCGCCUCAAAACAAUUGGCAGCCGGCGUAUUGAUUUCGGAGCGCAGUACAUCUCGCGCCUUGCACUCAUAACGACGACGUCCAAAAGUACAUUUUUACACUCUUGACCUCGGAUCAGGUAGGGAUACCCGCUGAACUUAAGCAUAUCAAUAAGCGGAGGA